CGUAGUUGAUCAGUGGCUACGAGGACGACGCUGGCGGCGUGCCUAAUACAUGCAAGUCGAGCGGACCAAAGGGAGCUUGCUCCUGGAGGUUAGCGGCGAACGGGUGAGUAACACGUGGGCAACCUGCCUGUAAGACUGGGAUAACAUCGAGAAAUCGGUGCUAAUACCGGAUAAUAAAAAGAACUGCAUGGUUCUUUUUUGAAAGAUGGUUUCGGCUAUCACUUACAGAUGGGCCCGCGGCGCAUUAGCUAGUUGGUGAGGUAACGGCUCACCAAGGCGACGAUGCGUAGCCGACCUGAGAGGGUGAUCGGCCACACUGGGACUGAGACACGGCCCAGACUCCUACGGGAGGCAGCAGUAGGGAAUCUUCCGCAAUGGACGAAAGUCUGACGGAGCAACGCCGCGUGAGUGAUGAAGGUUUUCGGAUCGUAAAACUCUGUUGUUAGGGAAGAACAAGUGCCGUUCGAAAGGGCGGCACCUUGACGGUACCUAACGAGAAAGCCACGGCUAACUACGUG
RNAcentral lists this ribosomal RNA (518 nucleotides) under uncultured bacterium. RNAcentral describes it as "bacterial SSU rRNA". It matches the Rfam family "Bacterial small subunit ribosomal RNA", at positions 9 to 507 of the family's 1533-position model. The record is from RNAcentral.